CGGGGUUGCACUCUCCUGGAUGGAGACCCCUGAUUACCACUGGGAUCGCUUUGGACUUCCACAUCUGUUCCAGAUGUUCCUUCAGCCGCUGCAGGACUUGGGGACUUUUAGGGUAUAUGCAGCACAGAUGUUCUUGCACACAGACCCAGCUUGCAUCUUACAUCCUGUUGCCUGCCAUGUGUUGGAUAGUCUCUGGGGCAGCCUUGCACAGUCUGCAGCUUGGGUCCUGUUGGUUGUGGUAAACGCUUACUUCUAUGGAUCUGGCACUUGGGGCCUGUGUUUGUGUUGCCAUCAUCGGAGCCUCUGCGCUGUCGGCUUCUAACCAGUAGGAUUUCCUAAUGUCAGUCAGUUCCUCUGUCUGUCAUCCCAUGUAGGGGCUUGGUCGUCCGUGACAGUUUCUCUUCCUGUUCCUCAUCACCGUCUGUCGGCAGCUGCCUGAGGCAAUCAUUUUUGUUGUUGCAUCAAAUCAUUUUUAAAUAAUAUUUUCAACCAGUAGUUAUGAUUUUCAAUUUCUUACAGUAUCUAAGAGAACAGUAUGAAUCGGUUCUAUCAGAUUCAGUGUACAGUUACAGAGUUUCUUUUUUAGUCCGUUAUAUUAUUUUGAAUUAUGAAACAGUUUUUUAGUUUUCAUGAGAACUUUAUUUUGCAAAGUAUCCAAAGCCAUUUGUUUAUAAUGAGGGGAAAUUCUGAUCACUGUGCUUUCCCCCUGUAGUCCUAUAGUAUCAGUUUGCUAUUGUGCAUUACAUGGUCAUUUUUAGCAGACUGGUUGUUAAUGCCACGGAAAAAAAUAAGUUACACAUUUAUUAGGACCAAAAUUAAACCCGUAUAUGGGUUUAAUUAAUAUCAGCUCUUAUUCUUUCACGACAGUUUACGAUAGCAUCAAUCGAUUACUAAUGUCUGUCUGCCGAGCCCUCAAGAUAAAACGUCAUACUUGCGCGACAGCAGGGUCAAACGGAGAGGCUGUUGUUGAUGUCAAAACAUUUUGAGACGGCCCUCUGUGAACUGAGAGAAAAUGUCUACCGCUAUGAAUUUCGGGUCGAAGACUUUUAAACCUCGGCCUCCGGACAAAGGCUCGUUCCCACUGGACCAUUUCGGAGAGUGCAAAGCCUUCAAAGAAAAGUUCAUGAAAUGUCUCAGAGAGAACAACUAUGACAACUCCAUGUGCCGACUGCAGUCCAAAGACUACCUGGAGUGCCGAAUGGACCAUCAGCUGAUGACCAAGGAGCCUCUGGAGAAACUGGGAUUUAAGGACCUGAUGGAUCCUCCCCCCAGCCAAGCAGGCAAAGACAACAAAUCCUGAUUUGACUCCACAUCUGCUGUUUCCAAAGUGCAGAAGCAUAGAAUAAAGUGCUGUGACCGUGAGCUGACAAGGAUGACUGCAAAGACUCUGAACAUGCAGCUCCAGCACGAGGACUGUGUGUUUUCAGUCAAUACAAAUUAAUUUUGUACAUAAGAUGACUUUAUGUAAUAUAUAGAUGCUGUUUUGCUUGUCAAUAAAUCUUUUUUAUCUAAACUUUUAUUUUGAAGCCUUUGACACAGUUGCAGCAGUGACAUUCUCUGAACAGUUCAAAAACAAACCCGCUUAUCAAAAAUCGACUACUCUUAUGUUUCUUGAACACAACCUUUAUGAAAUUUAAAGGCUUCCUGGAUCUUCUCAAAUCCUGUAUGGUGGAAUUCAAACCAAAUGUGCCUGUUUGGCAUUUAAGACUGUUUAUUGUUAAGUAUUUUUGAUACUGUCCCAUGAAAUGACCAAAACGAAUGAUUUGUCCAUGUCAGAGAAAAGUCGUUCUCCUGGAAAUCCUUCCAAACAAAACAUUCUUGUUCAGUCUUUUUAACUGAACUGCACUGUCAUGAAGUUUAACUUUUAAAACACUAACGGAGGCCUGUAGUGUAUAUGGUUUUUCAUCGUUUCUCUGAGCAUCGUAUCGCCUGAUCUUGGGAAUUUCUCAGGACAUCCACCUCUGGGAAGACAGUCAGCAGUCUUAAAUGCUGUCGCUGUAGAUCUGGAUGUCAAAUUGUUUGGAAAUUACUUUAUAACUCUUUCGAGGUAGAGAAGCAGCGAUAGUUGUUUCUGUAAGAUCACUGCUGAUAUCUCUGACGCACACCUGAAUGCUCCAGACAAGCAAAGACUUUGCUUCUCACUCUUACUGAUAAUCAGUUUGAUUUGAUUAGCAGCACCUGGCUGUUACUCACCUUCUGAUAGUGAUGGCCAAAUGAAGCUUUCUGAAGCACUGAAGCUUGUAUUGAAAAACGGUUCAUUACUCGAAGCUUUUCAACACAGUCCUCUCCGGUGACAUCUGGUGGCGAAAAUUUUAAAGAGCAGCUUGAAUCUGCAGAAUAAAACGGACUGCUCAAUUAUCACUGCUCACUCAAGAGUGGAGCUCUCUCUGAUAUUGGGCCACCGUUCCGUUGCUUUGAACAUGUAAUUGGUUUUGUUUUCUCGAUUGGGGGGCUGAAAAAAAUGUAAUGCGUAUUUGCGUAAUACAUUUUGAUCAAUAAACUUUCCCUAUUUAAACAU
RNA transcript from Haplochromis burtoni (Burton's mouthbrooder), 2518 nucleotides. It is a transcript of the gene named cytochrome c oxidase assembly protein COX19, with no coding region annotated. Lineage: Eukaryota; Metazoa; Chordata; Actinopteri; Cichliformes; Cichlidae. The record is from RefSeq and is a predicted model, not a curated record. The transcript is spliced from 4 exons.